Long non-coding RNA from Bos taurus (domestic cattle), 1568 nucleotides. The record is from Ensembl. NCBI's taxonomy places the organism in Eukaryota, Metazoa, Chordata, Mammalia, Artiodactyla, Bovidae.
CCCCUAGAUGGUGGGUGAAGCCAGGUCCUGGGGUUAGUGCUGGAUUAUGAUAGGCAGUGCCAGGUCCUAAUGUUUGCUGCAGGGUCCAGGGGUCCCAGAGCUGGUGUCACAUCGCCUGGGGGAGCAGUUCCUGACACAGUUGGGUAUGGGGUCCCAGGUGUGCUGAAGCUUGUGUUGGCCUGUUAGUGGGCAAGGCCAGGACCCAAUUGGUCCCAGAGUAGGUUCUGGCCUGCUAAGGGCAGGCUGGGUCUGAAGCCUGGGGGAUUGCGUUUUCCUUGCGUCUGUCUGAUGUCUGGCCCUAAUGGGUGAGGCUGGUCUAGAAACUUGUGCACGUUUCCUGGAGGACAAAGCCAGUGCCUGCCCACAAGCGGGUGGGCCUUGUCUGGAGGAGGCUGUAGUUUCAGGAAGUCUUUAGGAGUAUGUGCUGAUGGGACUGUGUCUCUGCCCAGCUGUUUGGUCUGAGGCAUCCUGGUGAGGACACCUCCAGGAUGUCAGGUGGGGCCAAGUGUGGCCAGGUGUUGCGGCUAAUGAGCUAACAACGCCUCCAGCACCAGCUUCUAGAACGAGCUCCUAAAUAUGGCUCCCGCUGCCGCGCCCUCUCACCUCUUGUCUCUCCGGGAGACACUCCUAGAAGAAGCAGUCAGUUUUCAUUCCAAUCCCAAAGAAAGGCAAUGCCAAAGAAUGCUCAAACUACCGCACAGUUGCACUCAUCUCACAUGCUAGUAAAGUAAUGCUCAAAAUUCUCCAAGCCAGGCUUCAGCAAUAUGUGAACUGUGAACUUCCAGAUGUUCAAGCUGAUUUUAGAAAAGGCAGAGGAACCAAAGACCAAAUUGCCAACGUCCACUGGAUCAUCGUAAAAGCAAGAGAGUUCCAGAAAAACAUCUAUUUCUGCUUUAUUGACUAUGCCAAAGCCUUUGACUGUGUGGAUCACAAUAAACUGUGGAAAACUCUCCAAGAGAUGGGAAUACCAGACCACCUGACCUGCCUCUUGAGAAACCUAUAUGCAGGUCAGGAAGCAACAGUUAGAACUGGACAUGGAACAACAGACUGGUUUCAAAUAGGAAAAGGAGUAUGUCAAGGCUGAAUAUUGUCACCCUGUUUAUUUAACUUAUAUACAGAGUACAUUAUGAGAAAUGCUGGGCUUGAGGAAGCACAAGCUGGAAUGAAGAUUGCUGGGAGAAAUAUCAAUACCCUCAGAUAUGCAGAUGACACUACCCUUAUGGCAGAAAGUGAAGAACUAAAGAGCCUUUUGAUGAAAGUGAAAAAGGAGAGUGAAAAAGUUGGCUUAAAGCUCAACAUUCAGAAAACUAAGAUCAUGGCAUCUAGUACCAUCACUUCAUGGCAAAUAGAUGGGGAAACAGUGGAAACAGUGGCUGACUUUAUUUGGGGGGGGGGGCUCCAAAAUCACUGCAGAUGGUGAUUGCUGCUGUGAAAUUAAAAGACGCUUACUCCUUAGAAGGAAAGUUAUAACUGACCUAGACAGCAUAUUAGUCAGCCAUUAAAAAGAAUACAUUUGAAUCAGUUCUAAUGAGGUGGAUGAAACUGGAGCCUAUUAUACAGAGUGAAGU